UUCAGCUUUCAGACACAUUCCUCCACACGCUUCAGCAAGUUCUCAGCAGGAAUGUUAGUGUUGGUCCUGAGGCUCCUGUAGAGCCUCUAACUCUCCAUGAGUGUCUCACCUCAUACAGAACCUUCACACCUACAGGCCAACAGAUCUCCACCAUGAAGCUCCACAGCCUCAGCAUUAACCUCCUGCUUUCCCUCGUAUUCCUCAACAUCUACAGCCCAUCAGAUGGAUCAAGUCCAAAUAUACUGCGCAAACUACUCAAGAAAAGGGAAGGUAAUCUGUCUGCAUUUUAUGCCCAAAUGCUUUUUAGCCACCAUGAGCUCUAUAUUACACCCUGCACAGGAGCUCCACUGACUGAAAUCAACCAAGACAGAUGUCAACAGUGAAACGUUCAUCGCUAUCUUGGGUGCUGCGUGCACAAACCCAACAUUUACAUCCACAAUACAUCAACAGAAUAGUAAAUAAAAUAACAUUGCUGUUCCCGUAAAUGAGCUGC
This 493-nucleotide long non-coding RNA is filed under the name Astyanax mexicanus (Mexican tetra). Its description in RNAcentral is "lncRNA (ENSAMXG00005021287.1)". Lineage: Eukaryota; Metazoa; Chordata; Actinopteri; Characiformes; Acestrorhamphidae. The record is from RNAcentral.